GUUUUACUCAUGUAUUGGUCUACCUUCAUGUCUUGUCAAUUUCAAGAUAUGUGACUGUGUUAUUUUGUUGGAGUUUUGAAUUGCCUUAUUCAGGAUUUGGUUUACAUUGAAGUCUUGACAUUUUAAACAUGCUUGUGUCAUUUUGUUGGCGUCUCAUUGAUGCACACAUCACCUUUCCCAUUAUUCAUAGUUAUCACCUUAAAUCAUAAAUCAGUUACAAAGUUUUAACAAUGAUAGUUGUUAUUCAGGAGCUGUUAUUUUCCGAAAGUUUAUGAAACACAAAC
This 284-nucleotide long non-coding RNA is filed under the name Mytilus galloprovincialis (Mediterranean mussel). Lineage: Eukaryota; Metazoa; Mollusca; Bivalvia; Mytilida; Mytilidae. The record is from RNAcentral.